CUUAUUUCACAUGCCACCUUGUUCUUGAAGGCAUCAGUGCCCAGAAGGCUGGGGAUGGUUCUCAGCCAGAAGGAAGGAAAGAGAUGCUGGUGGGAAGGAGCCCAAGACAUUCCUCUGAAAAGGAGGCCAAACCAGAAGAAUAUUUCAGAAAAUGGAUAUAAUAGAGCCUUGAACCACUCCAGGUGCAGUCCUGUACAGCUGUGGAAAGCUUUGUACACUUUCUAACAACUUCUCCAGGAAAAAGUACAACUGCUUCUACUUUGGUAACAUUUGUCUCUCUGUUAAGGAGACUCAAUGGCCAUUUGAUGACACAUGAUUCACUGGUGAACUUUACAGAAAUAGUCUAAAAGGGAAAAGUUGGCCUUUCAGUCAAUCAGCAACCAAUGAAUUAGUUGGAGUGAGAUGGUUCAGAGAUUUAGUCACUGCUGGGUUCAACCUGGUUUCCAGUGAUGGAUGGGGGUGGAGAUCCAGGCAGUGAGGAAAAAGGAAAAUGUAAGAUGAGAAAGAUGUAACUAUAUAGGUCAGUGGGGGCAGGACAACUGUAGCAUCUUGUUUCCUUGAUUAACUACUACUUAAAUUCAUAAUUUAACCCCCAGGAGGGGGUCCCAGUAGAAGGUCCUUGCCCACUGAAACAGGACCCUUUCUGAACCAUGAAAGGAGAUUCUUCCAAUAGGAAUGUGAUGGUAUAUUUUGGAGAUGAUCAAAGACGGAGAUAGACUGUACUAUGAAAAUAAUAAAUGUCAAUGUUGUUUAGCACCCAUUACCUCACAAUUUAUGAGUCAAUGUUUGUGCAGACUUCUGAGUUCAUAAGGUAAGAGUAAAUAGAAAUAAUUACCAUUAAAUACCAAGUUUUUCAGUCCUCACCCUAAAGGCUGUAUUUACAGAAGCAGUCUUAAACACCUCUCUGAAGAGCCAUUAGCCAAACUGAUGAAAGAGGAAGAUCCUUUCUGAGAGCACUAUAAUUCAGCAAUCACAGCAACAUCUUGGUGUUGGAAAGAACAUAGAGCAGCACUGGAUUAAGACAUACUGAACCACAAGUUUAUAGUUCCUUCUUUCCCAUCAAAGAUACGAAGAAUUGAUCUUUUUAAAGCCACAGCUACUUUGUUGAUAAAAAUGGGGAUAGUAAUAGCAGUUUUUCAAGGUUGGUAUGAAGACUAAGAAGAACAUGUGUAAAAUUCCCAUCAAAAUGCUAGCAUUGGGGCGCCUGGGUGGCUCAGUCGGUUAAGAGUCGGACUUCAGCUCAGGUCACGAUCUCACAGUUCGUGGGUUCGAGCCCCGCGUCAGGCUCUGUGCUGACAGCUCAGAGCCUAGAGCCUGUUUCAGAUUCUGUGUCUCCCUCUCUCUCUGCCCCUUCCCUGUUUACACUCUGUCUCUGUCUCAAAAAUAAAUAAACAUUAAAAAAAUUUUUUUAAAUGCUAGCAUAUAUUAAAGUUAAAGUGAAUCGUAGCUAUUACAAUGGUGGUCAGAGCUAACCGAUAAAAAGCCUUAUAUGCUAACUACUUUGCGUACUUUCUUCUACCUUUUCUUUUAAAUCCAUUGACUCUAUGCUAGUAUUUAACUUUUUGCCUCAUACUUAUUUUUACCUCUCUGACCAUCUGAAGAUUAAUUGUGCCCCACUGUCUGCUUGACUUUUUCAUCCCAGCUUUACUCCUCAGUGUUCUAUACUAUAUCUCCCCUUGACUCCAUGAUCUGCAUCUAAUGGGCAAGUUCCAUCCAGUCCCUACAUCUACUUUAGAAGUGGGUAGUCGGGGAAUAUCUGUGAAGACUUUAUGGAUGAACUAGGAUAUGAGUUACACCUUGAGAACAGGCAAAAUUGAAACUGAAGAGGACUGUAUGUUUUCUUUCCAAUAUUCCAUAUAGACCACCAAGUUAUGUUUUGCAUUUGCCAUUAUAAUUGCAUCUUUUCUUACUUCAGCAUUUUGGUAUAGCAUUUCAGUAUUCCAAGAAUGAUGACAUCAUUGUCAGGGACAAAAGAGUUGGCUUAAUUUUUGUCGAUAACAAACUGGGUUGAUUAUUUCCUGAUGAUACGAUAGUACCUUAAUUCAGAGAUUCCUGCGCUGGUGGGAUCAUGAGUCCAGUUGUCUUCAAAUUGUGAUUUGUGAAGGCCUGGAGUACUAAAAAGAUAUUACAGGGCUCUUCCUGGGGAAUCUAGAAGGGGAGAGCAAAUCAAGAUGCAGGCUGCUUGGCUCCAAGCCCAGCAUUCCACUUUUAUUGCUCCAUAUCGGAUUCUAGAUAAGAUUUUAUUUAGAAAAUAAAAAAUAAUUACACAACUUGAAAAAGAAAAACUUUGGAGACUCUCUAUUUCAUAUAUGAGGAAGCACAAUCUAGUCUGUUAGCAUGCCAAUAUUAUACUAUUUAUUUUUAAACCAUUUAUGCAUUUGGCUCAGCAAAUACUUAUUGAACAUCUACUCAGUGUGUGGUGUGCUGCUCAGGUCUGAGGACAAUGCAAAAAACAAAACAAAACAAAACAAAUAGUCCUGCCCUUGAAGAAGAAAUAGCCCAGCGUAGCAGUGAUUGCUGGCUGUCUACUCAAAAUCCCUCCUUCCCUUCUUCCUUACCAUGUAAAGGCAAGCAUCGAUGUGCCCAAUGAAAAAGUAACACUUCCCAGUCACCCCUGUAGCUAAGGGUAGACAAUAAAAAGUAAGGUAAGGUAUUGGGUGAGACUUCCAGGAAAGCGCUAUAGAAGGAAACUAAACAGAGUAAAUCCAUCUUUUAUCCAUUGCUUUCUCUUCCUUCCUACUGUCUGAUAGGGAGACAUAAUUGCUGGAGUUCUCCUGGACAUGCGGCAACCUAGGGAUGGAAACCAUGUGUUGUGGAAGUUUAAAAAAAUAGAAGGGUCCUAGAAACAUGAUGACUUUGAAGUUGACACACCAGCACAGGACUGCCCAUUUAUUGAUUUCCUUUGUAUAAAUAAAAAUAAGCCUCCAACUUGUUUAAGUCACUGUUAUUAUUUUUUAAUAUUAAACAAAACCUAAUCCUAAUGGACAAGAAGACAAGUCAAGAGGCAAAUUCAGAAGGAUGAUGAAUUAUGAUAGGGAUAGAAUUUUUUAGAGAACCAUGAAGUUUAAGUGUAACCCAAGCACUGGGGUUUGGGAAAUGUUUCUUAGAGAAGUGAUAUCUAAACGGAAUCCUGUAAACUGAGUUGAAGUCAGCCAAACAAAGAGUAUGGGAAACAGGGAUAUGGAGCAGUGAGUGCAAAAACCUGGGGGGAUGGGGAGUAGGGAGAGGAUCCAAUGCCUUCUGGGAAUUUAAAGUAUUUCAGUAAAGAUAGUAGAAAGAGGGCAUGGGUGGGGGAGUGGUAAGGCAUGAGAAGGGGUCAUAAAGUGUCUUGCCUGACUAAAAAGGGAGGCCACUAAAGGAUUUUAAGCAGGGAGUAAUAUGAUAAUAUUUGGAUUUUAGGCAUAUCAUUCUAAAUUGAAGUGAUGGAAAACCAAUUAGGAGGCUGUUUUAUUAAUACUGUCAAAUUAGAGCCAAAAAAAAAGGUUAAGAAAAGGGAAAUUUAAAGAAUGUGGUUAUUGAUCAAAUUGGAUGAAGCAGUUGAAUCCAUAAGAAAGAAGGAAGAAUCAAGGUUAAUGUCUGGGUUCCUAGGUUGGUAAUUUCAUUCACUGAUAUAAGGAAUCCAGGAAGAGGAGCAGGCUUGCUCUCUUCAAAGGUCACCAAAAGAUGACCUAGAUCUGCACAUGAACACUUGUACAUGCCAUUCAUAAAAGGCCCUAUAUCACUCAAAAUACUAUCAGGAAGCAAAAUCCAAUUCAGAAGAUUGAAGAAACUUUCAUCCACUUCCUCAUUUUUACUAGACCCACUGCCUGGAUUCCUUUGUGCACUGAGUAUGUUGUGGGCCAAGUCUAAUUUCUCAUGAAUGUUGUGUUCUGAUCAUAACUCCUGCCAGCAAUUUGGAGCAGUGUUGUUCAGAUUAACCUGGACAACAAUUACGUGCUCUGUGCACAUGUUUAACUAAACCAGUGAUCAGAAAUGACACUUUGCAGCAAAACGGCAAAGUUGGAAACACGUGGGUAAAUUUGCAAACUGGAGAAAAUGGGAUAUACCAGAAACUUAGAAUGGAUUUGUAGGAGAUUUUCAAACUACCUGCAUGGUAAGUUUCUCUCUAACCUUCCACUCAAAAAAAAAAAAAAAAUUGCAUUGCAGCUUGCUCUUACCCUGUAUUUUUGGGUGUUUUUGUAAUAUACAAGUUUUCAUUUUUUCCCCUCUAAUUUUGGUAGUGUAUGUAAGGCAAAGAUCUUCCCCCUGUAGGUGAGAGAUUCAGGCUAACUCGAUCCCUUCUAAUCAAACAACAAGGUUAUUUUGCCUAGAAAUCUUUUAAAAUUCUCCCUGGGAACCAACACAGCAUGAUAUGGGUUGAAUUUCCUACGGACUUGGCUCUCUCCAGGUACUUUUGAUAAUCCCCAUACAAAGCAUUGUGCUGCUCCAGAAUGAUAUUAGCCAGGCACAUGAAAGCCACCAGCCACUGUAACCCAGGCAAAAACAAGCCAAAAAUUGGUAGUCAGACUGUUGCUACAAUUCAGAUUCAUGGCACUUAAUUCAACAUGCAUUUAUCAAAAAAAUGUAUGAUAUUCAAGACACUGAACAUGACCUCAAGGAGUUUCACACAUUGAGAUAAAGUAGAAACUCACAGGAACUUAGAUGCCAUGUUUUUUUAGUUUUUGCUUGUAGGGGGAAGAAGCUGGGAAAAGAUAUUUGGUUAUACUUAAUUUUGGCUUUGAGAGAUGGGACCUAGGUCUUCCUAGCCUUGAAAAGAAAUAUA
Molecule: long non-coding RNA, 4762 nt
Organism: Neofelis nebulosa (Clouded leopard)
Lineage: Eukaryota; Metazoa; Chordata; Mammalia; Carnivora; Felidae
Exons: 4
Source: RefSeq, a predicted model, not a curated record